This 240-nucleotide unclassified non-coding RNA is filed under the name soil metagenome. RNAcentral's name for it is "partial contains 5.8S ribosomal RNA, internal transcribed spacer 2, and large subunit ribosomal RNA". The record is from RNAcentral.
AACCUUAUGGACCUGCGGGCGUAUACCUGCGGAGGGAUCAUUACCGAGUUUACAAACUCCCAACCCUUUGUGAACCUUACCAUAACGUUGCUUCGGCGGGACCGCCCCGGCGCCCUCGCGGCCCGGACCCAGGCGCCCGCCGGAGACCCCAAACUCUAUGUUUUACUGUACAUCUCCUCUGAGUGACAUAUAAACAAUAAAUAAAAACUUUCAACAACGGAUCUCAGAUCGGAAGAGCAC